This 492-nucleotide ribosomal RNA is filed under the name uncultured bacterium. Its description in RNAcentral is "bacterial SSU rRNA". It matches the Rfam family "Bacterial small subunit ribosomal RNA", at positions 31 to 518 of the family's 1533-position model. The record is from RNAcentral.
GAACGCUAGCGGCAGGCUAACACAUGCAAGUCGAGGGGCGAGCGGGAUGUAGCAUACAUGCCGGCGACCGGCGGAUGGGUGCGUAACGCGUAUGCAACCUACCUUAUACAGGGGAAUAACCUUUCGAAAGGGAGACUAACACCCCAUGGUAUUGAUUUAAGGCAUCUUAGAUUAAUUAAAUAUUUAUAGGUAUAAGAUGGGCAUGCGUAUGAUUAGCUAGUUGGUAAGGUAACGGCUUACCAAGGCGACGAUCAUUAGGGGUUCUGAGAGGAAGGUCCCCCACACUGGUACUGAGACACGGACCAGACUCCUACGGGAGGCAGCAGUGAGGAAUAUUGGUCAAUGGGCGCAAGCCUGAACCAGCCAUGCCGCGUGCAGGAAGACGGCCUUAUGGGUUGUAAACUGCUUUUACAUAAGACUAACCGUAUAUUUGCGAAUAUACCUGAAUGUAUUAUGAGAAUAAGGAUCGGCUAACUCCGUGCCAGCCGCGGC